UUUUCUCUUUCUCUCCUCUCUUAAUUUCCCUGCUACUUCCGUUUCCUCCAUUAUUUCUCUGCCCUGCUAUUUUUUUUUCUUGUUAUUUCGUUUAAACUCAUUACACAAGAGUAUGAGGAUUUGAUUUAUUUGGAUCAAAUGAUGAAGAUAACUAUUGUUGCUGAGAUUUACAAUCUAGAGUUUGAUUUUGAUGAAAGAAGAAGGUAAAGGGAGAUUAUAUGAUUCAUUAUAAAACUCAAGUCUCAAUACAAUGUAGACUAAUGUGAAGAGUGUGUGAAUUGUGAGUGUGCGAUGUGUGUCGUAUGUACGUGUGAGCCUAAUGUGAAGAGGAGAGAAUCGAGUCUGAUAUAUAAAACUCAAGUUUGUCCUGUAACUAAAAUAAUCUUUCUCUUAAUCAAUUCAUUGAUUCAACCCGUCUCAAUACAAUGUAGACAUUCGAUUUAUCGAAUUCUAUCAUGGUAUCAGACUCAGAAAUCAUGAAUUCAUGAGGGUAUCAAUCCAAUUUUUCCACUGAUUCACCUGAAUAUUCAUCUCCUGUUGUUGUUCAUCAACAACAUCUUACAACUCUGAUUGUUCUUCAUCAAAAAUCCAAAGAUUGUUCUUCAUACUACAAAUAAUUACAUCUCAGAUCUAGAUUACUUACAACAACAUCUUACAAUUUCAUCCGCAACCAAAGAUUUCCAUCGUAAUUAACUUGUUUUUGCAGCUAAUUUCUUCAUCAAGAUCUGCUGCUCUUGAUUCCUGAUGCCGAGAUAUUCUGAGCGUGUUCUAGUCCGCUACACUACGGCCUAGUUAGGGAGAAAACUUAAAUCCGUUCCACUGAUUGGAUUCAACAGAAGAUUGAGAAGUUGUUGGUCUCAUAUCUUCCUUCAAGGCAGUCCUCACAUAUGUGUUGAAGAAUCUUGCAUUUUACAUGAUGUUUCUGAAUUUGAAUUUCGUAUUGGAGUUGGAAUGUACGAAUUAACAGGUUUGAGUUCUUCUAAUUUUCAUCAAUUCUAUUCAUAGAGUUUGUUUUCAUGGAAAGUAUGCAGUUGUGAUUAUUGAUAUUAAGUAGUGUGAGGUUGUAUCUGAUCCUGAUGCUAGUAUUCCAACGUCAUCAAGAGGAUUAAGCAUGAUUUUGGAUCUAAAACUCAGUUUUGGGGUUUGAGAUCUUGGUAUUUCAAUUUCCAGUUUGGUUUUUUUGGGUUGAAAUUACUUAUCUCAUCAACUGAAAUUUGAGUCUCUGCUGGUAAUCUCAAACUUUAUCUUUAGAUUACUUUAGUUUUAACAUCAUGUGUUCAUCUUCUACAUCACUAGCUCAACAACAUACAAUUCUAUCUUCAAAACCUGUUUUCAUCAUAACUAGGUUUGUGGUAACUAGUUCUUUCAUCAAGUCCUACUUGUGCUGAUACCUGGCGCUUUUAAGUCUGAGCAUGCCUAUCUCCUCUACACCUUGUCUAGAUAAGAGAGAAGCGUAAAGUUGUUCUACUUGAAAGUGAGGAAAAUCUCAUCUUAAAUCACAGAAGUGUAUUGAUGUGUGUAUGGAAUGAGAGUUUGCUGCACUAUAUGUGCUUAAUUUGAUCGUUAUCAGUUCAUCCUAUUGGUACUGGAUUUGGUACAGUCCUCCUUUUAUGAGUGAGUUGGCUUACGAGUUCAAAUGAUGAAACUGAAGAUGAUGUUUUGGGAUUGAAAUUGGGGAGUUACAUAAGUACAAGCUGAUGUUCUCUCUGAUGAGUCGACAUUCAAUUCCGGUGUAUCCUGGUUUAGUUAUCUUUUCCAUUGUUUUUCAUGUUUCUGAAUACUGCCAGAUUAUCUCUUUCUUGCUGGUUUCGUUACUUCUGUUGGUGAAUAAUAUGGGUAUUUUAAGUGCUUUCUAUAAACAGCUUCAGCUUUGGUUGCUGUUUUCAAUAUUUCUUUAUUUGCGAAUAAUAUUGUUUCAAGAAUAUCAGGGUUGCAGAGACUUGUGAGUUGUUGCUUCUGAUUUUACCAUAUGGAGCCAAGUCAGGUGCUAGUUCUUAAUGAGCCAAAAGCCUUCAUGUUGUUUGUGGUUGCUGUUGGCAGUUUGCAGUCACUUGCGUUUCUUUGUAUGCAUUUAUUUUGGUGGUUUACUGUUGCUUCUUUAUAAAUAUGCAUUAACCUAUCCCUCCAACGUCAUGAGGUCUUUAAUACUUCAGUUGUACGGUUAUGAGAGUGCGUGUUGGUAUGAUGCAUUGCUUGCAGUUCACUACAACUGCUUGGAUUUAACUUGUCUGACUUGUGUCUCUCUUUUGGUUACCUAUUUUACUGCAUCAACCACUAUUUUUGCUGCUCCUUCAAGUUCUUCUAUUGGACGCUAGUGUGUGUAAGUGUUUGGAUGCAAGCUUCUUUGCCGAUUUCAGAUGUUAUACAGCAAAAUUAUGCAUUUAGUUGGUGCUGAGUGGUUAAGUGGGUGUGAUAUUUGUGCUGGUUUAUUCUUCUAUUCAUGUAUGUGUGCAGGGUGAUACUCUCAAUUCUGACUGUCAAUAUGGCCUGUAAUAUUAUUCUGUCAGAAUCGGCAUUUUUAAAUCAGUUGGAUGCUGCUCUAGUUCUUCUACAAGGCUGAUAUACUUUUACCUGCACCAACUGUUGUUGCGUCAUCACCUGCUAUUCAUACUUAUUUCUCAAUCUGCCAUGUUUCGUCUGCAACAACCACUACCAACCUACUAUUUUUUUUUUGUCUGCAACAAGUCGUAACCGUGCCUGCAGUUUUUCGUUCCCAACUUGGGUGUUUCUACUGUUGGUAUUUGCUGGUUUGUGUGUGAGUUGUGAGUGCAAUCUCAAGUUUUCUUUUAGAGACCACUUAAGAUUGAGGGAGCGUAAUAACAUAGAGUGUGUGAGUUGUGAGUGUGAUGUGUGUGUCGUAUGUACAUGUGAGCCUAAUGUGAAGAGGAGAGAAUCGAGUCUGGAUAUAUAAAACCCAAGUCUGUACUGUAACUAAAAUAAUCUUUCUCUUAAUCAAUUCAUUGAUUCAAACCGUCUCAA
This is a long non-coding RNA of Papaver somniferum (opium poppy), 2979 nucleotides long. RefSeq lists it as uncharacterized. The transcript is spliced from 2 exons. The record is from RefSeq and is a predicted model, not a curated record. Lineage: Eukaryota; Viridiplantae; Streptophyta; Magnoliopsida; Ranunculales; Papaveraceae.